Molecule: long non-coding RNA, 2659 nt
Organism: Gallus gallus (chicken)
Lineage: Eukaryota; Metazoa; Chordata; Aves; Galliformes; Phasianidae
Source: Ensembl
AAUUUGUGAUUGCCUAGCAUUUCUUCAGCACCUUCUUGGUCCUUCUGAAUAAAUAUUCCGUGUCGAUUAAUGCUGUAGGCAGAAGUUACUCAUAUCAGUUCUGCUCCUUAGGGGAAAAGGAAACUGUUAGUUGUUUCACAAGUAGAAUGACUCUGACUGCUUAGCUUUUAUUUUAAAUAGCUGUCUUUUCUUUUCCAGUUUAUUUGCUUUCAUUAUGGAAAUGCUUCCUUUUAAGAUUGCGUUUAUGAAUUAUUCAAGCAGAUGAUAUUUACCUUCCUUAGAAGGUUGUUCCUUAAAUUAUUGUUGUUUUGCAAGUGGUAUAUCUGCACAGCAGCCCUAAUAGAGCUUAUACAAAUAUACUGACGUUGUUUGGGCUUUGCCAGCUGUAUAUCUGUGGAAGGUACAGCAGCCUGCAGAAACAGCUUAAGACAUAAAUAAAUGUUUGUUUAAUGACCCCUUGCCUACUACAGCUACUCUGCUAGCUGAAUCCAGCGUGCAAUUAAGGAUGUCUGGCCUACAGUCAUGGAGGUGCUUGCACAGCUGACAUAAUUUCACAGAAACCCCUUGGCUGUGGCGAUCUCAUCGCUCCAGAAAGCAUGAUGGCAGCUGUGCAUUCUCAGCAGCAGCAGUUCCCUGGAUUCUGAUUUCCUGGAUGCAUGGAAAGCAGCUCUGUAUAACUUCAAGCCCUUUCUUCUGAGACCCAACAAUGAAUCAUGGCUUCUAUUAAAGUAAAGAGUGUCUGCAUGCAGGGAUCUUUGAAGAGGUGUUCUGAGAUCCACAGCCUACGCAAGAGUGUGUAAGAGACUGCAAUAAAGGAAACUAUAAUGAUUUUCCUGUUCUUGUGUUCUCUCCCAGUUGAGCACCUCAAAGCUGAAUGCUGCUACUCACUUGAACCAGCCUUUGCCAUCCUGGCCUUGAAGAGUUUGGGCCAUAGAAGAGGAAAGUACAGUAACUGUCCUGCUUUCUGAUAGCUGGCACUUAUUCUUGAGCUUGUCAACACCAUUUCUUCUAGGCCAAAGAGAAGAUGCCAAAACAGUGCUUGACAAAGGAAAAUAUUGAACUGUGGAGAGAGGAGACCAGCACAGUGGACUCUGCUUUUGCUCUAGAGCUUACGGGUGACUUAUUUCUCUGGCCAGAAAGAAAGAAACUGUAGAUUUCUCUCAUAGCUGACUAAAGUAUUGGCAAAUGGCUGCAUCUUCUAAGCAUGUCUGAGGGGUGAAGUAACCUUAAGUUUCCCUUGCUUUUGUUGUAUAAACAGCUUUAGUAUUGAUAUUAGCAGUUUGCACUUGAGCAAUGUCAUUGUCAUAUGAUGUGUGAGUCAUUCAUAGACAAUCAAAAAAGAGUUACCCAGGUCAUGCUUUUGGCCAUCUUAAGCCAGAGAUUGUAUUUCCCUUGGGCAGGCAACCAAAGGGAAAACAGAGACCAAAAGAGCUGGAAUUCAGUGAACUUGAGUAUUUGCUAUAACCUGGGCUAGGAGAAAAGUGAAGGCACAACAAAGGAGCUGCUAGGUGAAGACAAUCAUGCUCACUCUUAAUAGUGGUGUUGGCACAUUUUCAGACAGUCUUCAGUGUACCAUGUGGUUGGCAUGGCAUUUGUAUUAGAGUGGCAAGUUGCUUCUGUGGAAGUUAUGCACUCCUUUUGCUAUUGAUUACAUGGAAGUGUGGUAUGUAAUACAGCCUAACUUUCAGGUUUAAUACAUGCAAGUUCUGGACCAGAGUAUUACUUGGGGUAAAUCAUUGUGGUUUCUAUUGCUUCAGUUGAAUCUUGUUUGAUUUCUGCCUGAUGUGGAGCUGCUUUUUGUGACACUUCAUUUUGUGAAUAGCAGGUACUUGGAAUAAUGCUAGCUGAGCCUUUUUUCUUUUUCUCCAUUUUUUAUUUCACUGGAGAGCUGAAAUAUUUUUACAGGCUUGUUAGCACUCUUACAAACAGCAAACUACUGUGUAUGAGGAGGCUGUUGUUGUUGCCAGCUCCAUGUUUUUAUGACAAAUCUUGUGAUGUUUUGUUUUUCCUAAGAACCUCAGGUCUUGCAUUUCAUCAGAAUCUCUGUUUUCAUUUAAAAAAAUAAAAAUAAAAAAUUCCAGUUUGAUGUUGGCAUCAAAUGAGAGAAAAACUUGAAAAUGUUUGCAGCUUCAUCAUGAUGGCAAAAAAAAAACCAAACCUAAAUGCAUACAGGAACCCCCAAAUAUAGUAUUUUGCUUUAGAAAAGCAAACAAAAAAUCCCAAACCACCAAGCAAAUGAAAGACCUGUGGUUUUGAAGGACAGACUCUUACGUCUGUGUUGUGGUCUUUUACUGUAACUGUAAAAGUGACUUUUGUAAUACUUUUUAUAAAGGAUUUAUUUAUUUAUUUGUUUCAUUGCAGAUAAGCUUCUUGCAAAAUCCUUGUUUAAAAAGAGAAGAUGUUGAACCCUUUGAAAACGUUGGUCACUUGGUAACACAGAACUGCUAAUAGUCCCUGAACAGAUGUCUUGUUCCUUAGAUUUAAUUCUUGCUCUUAGUCUGCAUGUUCCUAAGCAGAAGGGAUGGAGGCUGACAGUAAUUCUUGUCCUAAAAUAUUGAGCUGCUCUGGGGUGCAAAAUGACAGUUAUUGCUAGUUAUUGUUCUUCACUCCUUGUAGAAUGUAUGCUGAAGCUAAUCCUCCUUUUUAUCAGAGUAAAUAU